UACAGAGGGUGCAAGCGUUGUUCGGAAUUAUUGGGCGUAAAGCGCGUGUAGGCGGCUUGGCAAGUCGGGUGUGAAAUCCCUCAGCUUAACUGAGGAAGUGCGCCCGAAACUGCCGAGCUUGAGUACCGGAGAGGGUGGCGGAAUUCCCCAAGUAGAGGUGAAAUUCGUAGAUAUGGGGAGGAACACCAGUGGCGAAGGCGGCGAUCUGGGAAGAUACUGACGCUGAGGUGCGAAAGCGUGGGGAGCAAACAGG
This 253-nucleotide ribosomal RNA is filed under the name uncultured bacterium. RNAcentral's name for it is "partial 16S ribosomal RNA". It matches the Rfam family "Bacterial small subunit ribosomal RNA", at positions 524 to 776 of the family's 1533-position model. The record is from RNAcentral.